CUGCAGCUGAGAGCGACUGCAGGUGCUGAGUUGGAGGAUGUGAUACGACACAAUGACACUCUGUAGAAGAGAGGAACCACACCACACUAACUCACAACUCACAUCAGAAAUCUCUCAAUAAUCAUAAUACCACAGUACACAGAGUUCACCAUGGCCACUACUCACACACUUCAGCCCUGCUCUAGAUUCUCCCUCAGUCACUGGUGUAACUCCUCCUGUUCUUACAGACUCUCUCUCCUGAGAUUUGGGAAUUAAACUGGUUUUCCUUCUCUCCACUCCCAGAUAAGAAAAUAAAAAAAGCUCCUUCACUUCACAGAGCUAAGUGACAACAUAGGAUAUAUAUCUCAUGUCCUGGUUCUCUGCUUUCUCACACACACACACACACCUGUCCUGUCUCAUUUUAAUAUUUCGGUUAUUGAAUUCAAUAUAAACUUUAUAUUAUUACCCAUCUGUCACUGCCCUUAGCCAUUGGACUCAUUUUCUCUCUUUUUAUUGUGUAACCCCCUUCAGUCAAGACUCCAGUCCUCCUGACUCCUCUCUCUCUUUAGAACUCUUAUAUCCGAAGAUUUAACAACUCUCCUCUAAAACACAAUAAUGUGAACUACUUGGACAUGGUCAUCCAUCCUUUACCAGCAAGAGCAUCCGGUGUUUCUGCAUGAAUCUCAGUAAGUUUGGCAGACAUCUCAUCAUGGAUGGCAGCUCUUUAUCCUCAGCUGAAACUAAAUCUCAGCAAGUCUGUUCUGCUGUAUAUCACUAGAGAUGCAUCACUAUGAUGGAUUUGGUGAUUGUUGAGGAGAACUAUUGUGUAACAACAUCUGACAGAACAAUGAAACUUCGGGUAGUUUUAUAAAACUAGCUAACAUUCUCUCCUCAUAUCUCAUCACAUCUUUUUUUAAUUGUCUUGGCCAAAAACUGAACAUCUGCAUCACUAUCAGGCUUCACAUCAAGAACUUUAUUCAGUCACCAAGCGCUAAAAUAAACACUAAUAAAAAAACUUCAUUUUGUGCUAUUGUUUUCUUUCUGCACUAAUAUUAACUCCUCUCUAAUAGGAAUUUAGCUUCAUAAUAUUUUAUUAGUUUAUGAGGAUGUGUUUUAUUGUAGACCACCAAAGCACAUGUACGUCUGUAAGUCACUCUGGAUAAGGGGAUGUGUCCAGUGCUGUAGAUGUAAGUAUACUUAAAAGACAGUGCAAUACUACUUCUUGUCCUGUGGUUCAGGUCUCGCUGAUGUUUGAUGGUUUAUUGCGUCAGGAAUCAUGUAGCAUUAAGGUGUUGUUUUAAUGUGAUCUGAUUUCUCCAGCUAAUGGCCCUGUUUUAUACGUGACCUCUGACCACUUUUUUCUUUUGCUGUCUUUAUAGAAGUUUUAUUAUCAGUUUGUCUCAUCUGUGUCUUGUUAUCGUGUCAUCCUGGUGCACUUUGCUGCUAUUCUGUUCACUCUGUAAGAGAAGAUAUACUGUAGAUUAAUUCAAUUCAAUUUCAUUUAUAUAGC
Clarias gariepinus (North African catfish) is the source of this 1489-nucleotide long non-coding RNA. RefSeq lists it as uncharacterized. Lineage: Eukaryota; Metazoa; Chordata; Actinopteri; Siluriformes; Clariidae. The record is from RefSeq and is a predicted model, not a curated record. The transcript is spliced from 3 exons.